This 208-nucleotide ribosomal RNA is filed under the name uncultured bacterium. RNAcentral's name for it is "partial 16S ribosomal RNA". It matches the Rfam family "Bacterial small subunit ribosomal RNA", at positions 1293 to 1500 of the family's 1533-position model. The record is from RNAcentral.
UCGGAUUGCAGUCUGCAACUCGAGUGCAUGAAGCUGGAAUCGCUAGUAAUCGCGAAUCAGAAUGUCGCGGUGAAUACGUUCCCGGGUCUUGUACACACCGCCCGUCACACCAUGGGAGUCGGGAAUGCCCGAAGCCGGUGACCCAACCUUAAGGAGGGAGCCGUCGAAGGCAGGCCUGGUAACUGGGGUGAAGUCGUAACAAGGUAAC